This 59-nucleotide transfer RNA is filed under the name Atypus karschi. RNAcentral describes it as "tRNA-Thr". Lineage: Eukaryota; Metazoa; Arthropoda; Arachnida; Araneae; Atypidae. The record is from RNAcentral.
UUUCUUGAAGUUUUAAAUAUUAAUUUUGUAAAUUAAAGAAGGGUAAAUAAGCAAGAUAA